Molecule: long non-coding RNA, 599 nt
Filed under: Monodelphis domestica (gray short-tailed opossum)
Lineage: Eukaryota; Metazoa; Chordata; Mammalia; Didelphimorphia; Didelphidae
Description: lncRNA (ENSMODG00000030458.2)
Source: RNAcentral
UUCAAAAAAGAAUACUUGCUUUCCCUGGGCUGCUGAGGCCCAGCACACACAUACACAGCAGGACACAGAGAAAUAUGAGGUCUUUCAGCGCGGCAAGCUUGUGUCAUUUUUCACUGCUAGAAGAUGAAAUCUAAAUUCAUUAGCAAGGCACAAUUAAGUUCAUGCCUCUAUCUGAGGCCCAUUCACAGCUCCGCUUUACGCUUUGUCUUGGUAGUGGGCCGCCUUUGCCUGAAUGGAACUGGCAAACCUGUCCCAUGUCUAAGGAGACAAGAGCUUGGGUCCUACCUGACCAGAAUGACAAAGAGAGGCCAUGAGACAAGCCUGAGAUGAAACAGCUGAGCUUGGGAGAAAUCGCGUUAUUUUAUUUUGCAGUACUGGCAAGUCAUGAGAUAUCUGUAUCCUAAUUCCAUUCCAUCUGUACUCUGUUUGGAUUCUUUAGUGGCCAAUGCUAUCUACACAGUAGCUCUUUCAGCUAAUGGAAUAUUAGAAUUUCUGAUUUGUUCUGGUCUACCAUAAUUUCCUGGGAUAUCAGAACAACUUUUGCUGUAUUAUUCUAUGCAUCAAGCUGAUUAUAAUUUCACAUUUGGAUUUUAGUGGAG